GACGAGCGCUGGCGGCGUGCCUAAUACAUGCAAGUUGAGCGCUGAAGGUUGGUACUUGUACCAACUGGAUGAGCAGCGAACGGGUGAGUAACGCGUGGGGAAUCUGCCUUUGAGCGGGGGACAACAUUUGGAAACGAAUGCUAAUACCGCAUAAAAACUUUAAACACAAGUUUUAAGUUUGAAAGAUGCAAUUGCAUCACUCAAAGAUGAUCCCGCGUUGUAUUAGCUAGUUGGUGAGGUAAAGGCUCACCAAGGCGAUGAUACAUAGCCGACCUGAGAGGGUGAUCGGCCACAUUGGGACUGAGACACGGCCCAAACUCCUACGGGAGGCAGCAGUAGGGAAUCUUCGGCAAUGGACGAAAGUCUGACCGAGCAACGCCGCGUGAGUGAAGAAGGUUUUCGGAUCGUAAAACUCUGUUGGUAGAGAAGAACGUUGGUGAGAGCGGAAAGCUCAUCAAGUGACGGUAACUACCCAGAAAGGGACGGCUAACUACGUG
RNAcentral lists this ribosomal RNA (497 nucleotides) under uncultured bacterium. RNAcentral describes it as "partial 16S ribosomal RNA". It matches the Rfam family "Bacterial small subunit ribosomal RNA", at positions 28 to 507 of the family's 1533-position model. The record is from RNAcentral.